AUCACCAAACAGCAGAGAUGACAAUCAUCAACACAGAGAGGUCCAAAGGCAUUUGUCUGAUGAGGGAAAAUGGGAAAUUUACUCGGGAGAUCCAGCAGUAUUUUGCAAGCCUGGACAUCAACAUAGCUCUGAGCGCUCUGAGGAAAACACUUCUGGGAGAAACCAUCGCGCCGCACCGGGCCCUGCAAACUGAAACUUGAUAUCCUGGAUGCUAUUGAUGAGCAGACAAAGGCUAAUGACACGCUGAUUGCUAAGGAUAUGCAGCACAUCAUUUUGGAGUUCUCCUCGGCCUGAGCAGUAUAUGCAGGGCCCGAAGGAAGCUGGGAUGGGAUUUUAAGAAGACAGGCUUCACCUUGAAGACAAGAGAUGAAAACCAAGAAGAAAAACAAAUACAAUAGCUACAAGGGAGCGAUUGUGAGGAGUUGUUGCAGGAUGAGUCCACAGAAGAUGAACAACAAUCUGUUGACAACAGUGCCACAAAGCUUCACCCAGAAGCAAACCAUAGAAGAAGGGGGGCAUCCAUGUUUUACAAGCCUAGACGACCUCGCAACACAGGCUUCCGUAGGGAUUGCAAUCCGUGCAAUGCAGAGAUCCUGACCAUACCACCACAAUAACGCAGAGAUCAGUGACCUGAAGAGCCGUCCGAGUGGCACAGAGCAGCACGUUGUAUUCCUGAUGUCUUUUCUGGAGGAGAUGAGCUCUUCGCUGGAAGCCCAGACACAGACUCUUCAGGAGCUCCAGGAUCAGUGCAGGCUGCAACAAACCCCACCAGCACCGCAGCAGCUGGAUGCCAGUACUCUCACCAGGCGGAAACGGUUCCUGGUCAAAACAGAAGAACCACCCCAGCCUUUAGAGCCAGCAGCAUCCAAGCCUGGUACACCAGCUAGCUUCAUCGCUACUACACCAGUGCCAGGUACCACGCUAGCCCAAGUUCCCAAACCAGAUAAGUGUUUUGCAAUCUUUCUGUCCUCCAGGCUACACAGCUUCUAAAGAACUGCCCAGCUUCAAUAAAUGAUGUUUCAAGAUAUUAUAUUUAAAUCAACUUACA
Eleginops maclovinus (Patagonian blennie) is the source of this 1048-nucleotide long non-coding RNA. RefSeq lists it as uncharacterized. The record is from RefSeq and is a predicted model, not a curated record. The transcript has 3 exons. Lineage: Eukaryota; Metazoa; Chordata; Actinopteri; Perciformes; Eleginopidae.